RNAcentral lists this ribosomal RNA (405 nucleotides) under uncultured bacterium. RNAcentral's name for it is "partial 16S ribosomal RNA". It matches the Rfam family "Bacterial small subunit ribosomal RNA", at positions 28 to 526 of the family's 1533-position model. The record is from RNAcentral.
GAUGAACGCUGGCGGCGUGCCUAAUACAUGCAAGUCGAGCGAAGCGGGGACGGGUAAGUAACACGUGGAUAACCUCCUCUAAGACUGGGAUAACUUCGGGAACCCGGAGCUACACCGGAUACUUAUCGAUGUAUCCGCGCUGCAUUAGCUAGUUGGUAAGGUAACGGCUUACCAAGGCAACGAUGCAUAGCCGACCUGAGAGGGUGAUCGGCCACAAUGGAACUGAGAAACGGUCCAGACUCCUACGGGAGGCAGCAGUAGGGAAUCGUACGCAAUGGGCGAAAGCCUGACGGAGCAACGCCGCGUGAGUGAUGAAGGUCUUCGGAUCGUAAAACUCGGUUAUUAGGGAAGCGGUACCUAAUCAGAAAGCCACGGCUAACUACGUGCCAGCCGCCGCGGUAAUUC